UGGGGAAUUUUGCACAAUGGGGGAAACCCUGAUGCAGCGACGCCGCGUGAUUUAGAAGGCCUUCGGGUUGUAAAAAUCUUUUCUAUGGGAAGAAAAUGACAGUACCAUAGGAAUAAGGACCGGCUAAUUACGUGCCAGCAGCCGCGGGAAUACGUAAGGUCCGAGCGUUGUCCGGAAUCAUUGGGCGUAAAGGGUACGUAGGCGGGUAAGCAAGGUAGAAGUGAAAUCCUAUAGCUCAACUAUAGUAAGCUUUUAAAACUGCUCAUCUUGAGGUAUGGAAGGGAAAGUGGAAUUCCUAGUGUAGCGGUGAAAUGCGCAGAUAUUAGGAGGAAUACCGGUGGCGAAGGCGACUUUCUGGCCAUAACCUGACGCUGAGGUACGAAAGCGUGGGUAGCAAACAGG
Molecule: ribosomal RNA, 402 nt
Filed under: bacterium
Lineage: Bacteria
Description: partial 16S ribosomal RNA
Rfam family: Bacterial small subunit ribosomal RNA
Source: RNAcentral